AACGAACGCUGGCGGCAUGCUUAACACAUGCAAGUUGAACGAAGGUCCGGGGCUUGCUUCGGGUACCUUAGUAGCGAACGGGUGAGUAACGCGUGGGAAUCUACCUAGAAAUGGGGAAUAACUACUGGAAACGGUAGCUAAUACCGCAUAAUCCCUUCGGGGCAAAGGCUUCGGCCGUUUUUAGAUGAGCCCGCGUUAGAUUAGAUUGUUGGUGGGGUAAUGGCCUACCAAAUCAUCUAUCUAUAGCUGGUCCGAGAGGAUGAUCAGCCACACUGGGACUGAGACACGGCCCAGGCUCCUACGGGAGGCAGCAGUGGGGAAUAUUGGACAAUGGGGGAAACCCUGAUCCAGCAAUGCCGCGUGAGUGAAGAAGGCCUUAGGGUUGUAAAACUCUUUCAGAAGUGAAGAUGAUGACUGUAACUUCAGAAGAAGCUCCGGCUAACUCCGUGCCAGCAGCCGCGGUAAUACGGAGGGAGCUAGCGUUGUUCGGAAUUACUGGGCGUAAAGGGCGUGUAGGCUGUAUGGUAAGUCAGAGGUGAAAUCCCUAAGCUUAACUUAGGAACUGCCUUUGAUACUAUCAUGCUAGAGAUCGAGAGAGGUUAGUGGAGUUCCAAGUGUAGAGGUGAAAUUCGUAGAUAUUUGGAAGAACACCAGUGGCGAAAGCGACUAACUGGCUCGUUUCUGACGCUGAGACGCGAAAGCGUGGGUAGCAAACAGGAUUAGAUACCCUGGUAGUCCACGCCGUAAACGAUGAGUGCUAGCCGUUUGAAGGUUACCUUNCAAGUGGUGCAGUUGACGCGUUAAGCACUCCGCCUGGGGAGUACGAUCGCAAGAUUAAAACUCAAAGGAAUUGACGGGGGCCCGCACAAGCGGUGGAGCAUGUGGUUUAAUUCGACGCAACGCGAAGAACCUUACCAGGUCUUGACAUCCUGACUAUAGUUAUUAGAAAUAAUUUCUUUCAGUUCGGCUGGGUCAGUGACAGGUGCUGCAUGGCUGUCGUCAGCUCGUGUCGUGAGAUGUUGGGUUAAGUCCCGCAACGAGCGCAACCCUUGUCUCCAGUUGCUACCAGGUUAUGCUGAGCACUCUGGAGAAACUGCCGGUGAUAAGCCGGAGGAAGGCGGGGAUGACGUCAAGUCCUCAUGGCCCUUAUGACCUGGGCUACACACGUGCUACAAUGGCGGUGACAACGAGCAGCGAUAGCGCAAGCUUUAGCUAAUCUCAAAAAACCGUCUCAGUUCGGAUUGGACUCUGCAACUCGAGUCCAUGAAGUUGGAAUCGCUAGUAAUCGUAGAUCAGCAUGCUGCGGUGAAUACGUUCCCGGGCCUU
Molecule: ribosomal RNA, 1326 nt
Filed under: uncultured bacterium
Lineage: Bacteria
Description: bacterial SSU rRNA
Rfam family: Bacterial small subunit ribosomal RNA
Source: RNAcentral